GUUUGCCACGCUCCAUGCGAUUUGGCCCAUUUUACUAUAGGCUUUAGAGAGCGAUACAGAGAGACGCGACGAACUUUUCGAAUCUCGAUCGGUUGCCCAUGGCAGCAGUAGCGGCUAGCUGCUGCAAGCCUUCUUCAUUUUUGGGGCAAUUCCACUCUCCUUCCGGGAAAUCACAAUGUACACAAAUAUCAGGGACUUCAGUUCCGGUUCCUAGAAUUACUGCACUAUUUUGGGGAUCGAGGAAGUCCACAACACCACAAGAGGUGGGCUUGUCACUCGGGGAUUUCACUUUGACAGUGUCAACCUCCAAGGACAUUUCAGCAAAUGAGGUGAAACCCAAAAAGAUAUCACUUUCAGUUGUUUCUUCAAUCUUAGAGGUUUCACCCAAUGAUUGGGAUGCUUGCACUUUGGAUGCCACCUCUCCUGAAAAAUACAAUCCUUUUCUUACUCAUGCUUUUCUUUCAAGCUUGGAGGAGUCUGGCUGUGCAGUAAAGGAGACAGGAUGGAUGCCACGCCAUAUGAUUGCAAAGGAUGAAUGUGAAAAUAUUUUAGGUGUUGUUCCACUUUAUCUUAAAAGUCAUUCCUAUGGUGAAUUUGUUUUUGAUCAUUCUUGGGCUGAUGCAUACUACAGUUUUGGGGCAAAAUAUUAUCCAAAGUUGCAAUGUUGUGUACCUUUUACUCCAGUAACUGGUCCAAGAAUUUUAAUUCGUAACACCUCUUUCAAAGAUCAAGUUUUUGAUGUUUUGGUCUCUGCUCUGAAGGAUCUGACAGCUAAGUCCCAGCUUUCAUCACUGCAUAUCACCUUCCCAUCUGAAAUUGAGUGCCAAAAACUGAAGGGAAAAGGUUUUCUGCAGAGGAUCGGAAUGCAGUAUCACUGGAAAAAUCGCAACUAUAAGAAUUUUGAUGAGUUUCUGAUGGACAUGAAACAAAGUAAGAGGAAAAAUAUUCGACAAGAACGCAAAAAGAUUUCUGUGCAAAACUUGACCAUGAAACGGCUUAGGGGUUACGAGAUAAAGGCAAAGCACUGGGAUACUUUUUAUAAAUUUUACAGGAACACCACCGAUAACAAGUGGGGUAGUCCUUAUCUAACUAGGGAUUUUUUCCACAACAUGGGAUCAAAGAUGGGGGAUCAGGUACUACUUGUUGUUGCUGAAGAAGGGGAAGAACUUGUUGCCGGUGCUCUUAAUCUUAUUGGAGGAGAUACUUUAUUUGGGCGUCUAUGGGGAUGCCAGCCUCGAGCUUACUAUCCAAGUUUGCAUUUUGAAGCAUGCUAUUACCAGGCUAUAGAAGCAGCUAUUGAACUUGGUCUGAACACAGUUGAGGCAGGAGCUCAGGGUGAUCACAAAAUUCAGCGGGGUUAUCUGCCUGUUACAACUUAUAGCUGCCAUUACCUUAUGGAUGAAGGUUUCAGAAAGGCCAUAGAGGACUUUCUAGUCCGUGAAUCAAGUCAGGCCGUGUGCACAAUUGAACUUUUAGAGUGGUACAGGAAAUCUCUUUAGAUCCUAUAAAUCCUUUCAGCCAUCAAGCUUAGGAAUGGAGAGGUGAAUUAGAGUUUCAUUUGUACCCUAUGCACUUGGUAUAUUCAAUAAAAGAGGAUGACACUAUUGUGGAUGUAAAACUCUAUGUACAUACAGCAUAAAGGUUAUGUUUUAUAUGCCAUGUAGAAAGUCCUUUCUCCAAACUCCUAUGCCUGCCUGCUUUCUUUGGACGAAGUAGUGGAAGUCCUGGUCAGAUAAUGACUACUGCACCAUUAGAUAGUACUAGCUGCUCAUCGCAAAAUGGUUAGGCUUGUCAUGAAACUAUUAAAUGAUUCUGGUCCCUAUAAGGAAGUUAUACAACAGACAUGGGAAAACAAAGCCCCAACUUAAACGGGAAUCAACAAAUUUCUUGGUAUUUGGCAUAUACGUGUGAAUGCCCCUUUCAUCUUCGCAUAGUUAUCCAAUUAUGCAAUUUUUCGUCGAGGUUCAGUGAAUAAUUUAUGUCCCAACUUAAUUUGUAUAUUGUUGUGACCAUAUAUUUGUCUAGGUAAUUAGCUAUCUGGGAUUUGCUGGCUCUGCACUUAUGUGAACAUGUAAAUCUUAUCCUGAUGUCUUUUAAGAGCUCCUGUAAAUAUUCCGAAUAAAUUCAUCUCUAUAGAUGCCUCUAGUAUUAUGCAGAGGUUGAGCA
Juglans microcarpa x Juglans regia is the source of this 2166-nucleotide RNA transcript. RefSeq lists it as uncharacterized. The transcript is spliced from 14 exons. The record is from RefSeq and is a predicted model, not a curated record. NCBI's taxonomy places the organism in Eukaryota, Viridiplantae, Streptophyta, Magnoliopsida, Fagales, Juglandaceae.